GGGUGCACGCGUUGUAAUACGUUGUAUUAUUGUUACAGUUGCUGUAAUUGAAUGAGAAUGAUUUAAAGACAAUUUGAUAUUUGUUUGUAUGAAAUAUAAUGAUCGAAACUUCCCUUCCGGGCAGCAUUUACAUUUUAUAUUGAUUUCAGUUAUAAUGCAUAUUGCAUGGGAAAAUCAGCCUCGGUUUCGUCGGUAGAGCAGGAUCGCCCGUUUUCUUCAGAAUUGUUUUGUGUUUGUAUAUAUUAUAGUUUUACUGUUGCUGAGCAUGUAAUAGGUGAAACAUCUGUACAGGUAAAUACAAGUACACUGCAAAUUUAUGUAAACAUUGUUUUAUUUUACAGGUUUUUACAAGAGCUCAUUAAAUGGUAUCCUAUACUUGGGUUAUAGUCCACUUUUUCACAUGGUUUACAAGAGCAAUAAACAGCAUCCCAUGCUUGGGUUUUAGUAAACUUUUUCAUGUGAACAACAGCGUAGACAUGGAAAGAGAAUGCAUCCUCAAAAAGCACUGUGUGUAUACUUAAAGGAGGACCAUCUACAGCUGUUCAAGGAGUACAAUAAAACGUGCAAAUACUGAGUUCUCUUUCAAGUCUUGUGCUUCAGAGGCCAAAUUCGUACAAAAAUUAUAUCAACAUGACCGUCUUGGAUUGCGACUGGAUGAAUUCUAAAGAAGCCGUAGAGCAGAUGGUAUUGGGGAUCUACAUCGUCCAAUUCAUAGACACCAACCAGGGGAUAAACCUGUGGACGUUGGUAUCCUGAUUGAAGGGACCGAGGUUCUCUGCUCUUUGAAGAACGUGUAGCAGUGGCCAUGCUGUAUGGACUUACUUACGCCUUGAACCUCAGCUACCCACAAGAACUCAAGGCUACAUUUGAGGUCAUCCAGAAAGUGUUCUUUAUCUUGAAUGGACAAAAACUUUCACUAAAGGUACCAGCCCUUAAGAACAAGAUGUUGGAGUAAGUUACCUUAUGUGUGUAUUCUCAAAAGACUAAAUCUUGACUCAAGAAGGUAUUAGCUGUGUAUAUACAUUGAAAUAUAAUGUUGUUCAUCUUGGAUGAUAUUUUUUUGUAUUUUUUUACCUGAAAAUUUGCCUUGAAAUAAGAAUAAAGAGAAACUUUUGACAUUCACUUUGAGAACAUUUUAUUUGUGCAGUAAAUUACAUUUUGAUAGACAUGUCAACAAUUAAACAUUUGUUUGAUGUAAAUAAAGUUGUACAAUUAAC
Molecule: long non-coding RNA, 1217 nt
Organism: Carassius auratus (goldfish)
Lineage: Eukaryota; Metazoa; Chordata; Actinopteri; Cypriniformes; Cyprinidae
Exons: 5
Source: RefSeq, a predicted model, not a curated record